CUCCACUCCGUCUACCCAGUGUUUAGACUAUCUGUUCAGGACUCCAAUAUUGUACAGUAGUCUGCACAUUGGUUAGGCUGGGCUGGGCU
Molecule: microRNA precursor, 89 nt
Organism: Monodelphis domestica (gray short-tailed opossum)
Lineage: Eukaryota; Metazoa; Chordata; Mammalia; Didelphimorphia; Didelphidae
Gene: mdo-mir-199b-1
Product: mdo-mir-199b-1
Source: Ensembl